GAUGAAGAACGUAGCGAAAUGCGAUACGUAAUGUGAAUUGCAGAAUUCAGUGAAUCAUCGAGUCUUUGAACGCACAUUGCGCCCCCUGGUAUUCCGGGGGGCAUGCCUGUCCGAGCGUCAUUGCUGCCCUCAAGCACGGCUUGUGUGUUGGGCCCCCGCCCCCCGGUUCCCGGGGGGCGGGCCCGAAAGGCAGCGGCGGCACCGCGUCCGGUCCUCGAGCGUAUGGGGCUUCGUCACCCGCUCUUGUAGGCCCGGCCGGCGCUUGCCGACACAUCAAUCUUUUUUCCAGGUUGACCUCGGAUCAGGUAGGGAUACCCGCUGAACUUAAGCAUAUCAAUAAGCGGAGGA
This 348-nucleotide unclassified non-coding RNA is filed under the name soil metagenome. Its description in RNAcentral is "partial contains 5.8S ribosomal RNA, internal transcribed spacer 2, and large subunit ribosomal RNA". The stretch from base 1 to 120 matches the Rfam family "5.8S ribosomal RNA", at positions 35 to 154 of the family's 154-position model. The record is from RNAcentral.